RNAcentral lists this ribosomal RNA (520 nucleotides) under uncultured Glomus. RNAcentral's name for it is "SSU rRNA". It matches the Rfam family "Eukaryotic small subunit ribosomal RNA", at positions 569 to 1093 of the family's 1831-position model. The record is from RNAcentral. Lineage: Eukaryota; Fungi; Glomeromycota; Glomeromycetes; Glomerales; Glomeraceae.
AGCAGCCGCGGUAAUUCCAGCUCCAAUAGCGUAUAUUAAAGUUGUUGCAGUUAAAAAGCUCGUAGUUGAAUUUCGGGAUCAAAUUGUCGGUCGUGCCUCGGUACGAACUGGUAUUAUUGGUUCCUCCCUUCUGAAGAACCGCGAUGUCAUUAAUUUGGUGUCGUGGGGAAUCAGGACUGUUACUUUGAAAAAAUUAGAGUGUUUAAAGCAGGCUUACGCUUGAAUACAUUAGCAUGGAAUAAUGAAAUAGGACGUUUGAUUCUAUUUUGUGGUUUCUAGGAUCGACGUAAUGAUUAAUAGGGAUAGUUGGGGGCAUUAAUAUUCAAUUGUCAGAGGUGAAAUUCUUGGAUUUAUUGAAGACUAACUACUGCGAAAGCAUUUGCCAAGGAUGUUUUCAUUAAUCAAGAACGAAAGUUAGGGGAUCGAAGACGAUCAGAUACCGUCGUAGUCUUAACCAUAAACUAUGCCGACUAGGGAUCGGAUGAUGUAAUUUUUUAAUGACUCAUUCGGCGCCUUACGG